GCGGCCGCCAUGUUAGGAGUGUAGUGGCGGCGCAGCCUGCCUCCUCGGGCGGCGGAGGUGAGCAGUUGUAGUGGAAGAGUUGUCUGCUGGUUCUCAGCUUGAAGAAGAUUCUACAGUCCUUAUUGAUCCUUUUUCUUGGCGUUACCAUUUUUGAAGCAAAGUUAACCUAGCUUUCUAGUUUGAGCUUUCUUUUUGGCCGUCUUUUAAAACAUUUUUUUUUUGAUCUAUAAAAUAGACAAGAGAUAGUUCUACAAUGUCCAAGUCAUUCCAGCAGUCAUCUCUCGGUAGGGAUUCACAGGGUCAUGGGCGUGACCUGUCUGCAGCAGGAAUAGGCCUUCUUGCUGCUGCUACCCAGUCUUUAAGUAUGCCAGCAUCUCUUGGAAGGAUGAACCAGGGUACUGCACGCCUUGCUAGCUUAAUGAAUCUUGGAAUGAGUUCUUCAUUGAAUCAACAAGGAGCUCAUAGUGCACUGUCUUCUGCUAGUACUUCUUCCCAUAAUUUGCAGUCUAUAUUUAACAU
This 519-nucleotide long non-coding RNA is filed under the name Rattus norvegicus (Norway rat). RNAcentral's name for it is "long non-coding RNA NONRATT013326". The record is from RNAcentral. Lineage: Eukaryota; Metazoa; Chordata; Mammalia; Rodentia; Muridae.